This 492-nucleotide ribosomal RNA is filed under the name uncultured bacterium. Its description in RNAcentral is "partial 16S ribosomal RNA". It matches the Rfam family "Bacterial small subunit ribosomal RNA", at positions 29 to 507 of the family's 1533-position model. The record is from RNAcentral.
AGUGAACGCUGGCGGUGGGCCUAACACAUGCAAGUCGAACGGCAGCACAGUAAGAGCUUGCUCUUACGGGUGGCGAGUGGCGGACGGGUGAGGAAUACAUCGGAAUCUACUUUUUCGUGGGGGAUAACGUAGGGAAACUUACGCUAAUACCGCAUACGACCUACGGGUGAAAGCAGGGGAUCUUCGGACCUUGCGCGAUUGAAUGAGCCGAGGUCGGAUUAGCUAGUUGGCGGGGUAAAGGCCCACCAAGGCGACGAUCCGUAGCUGGUCUGAGAGGAUGAUCAGCCACACUGGAACUGAGACACGGUCCAGACUCCUACGGGAGGCAGCAGUGGGGAAUAUUGGACAAUGGGCGCAAGCCUGAUCCAGCCAUACCGCGUGGGUGAAGAAGGCCUUCGGGUUGUAAAGCCCUUUUGUUGGGAAAGAAAAGCAGCAGGUUAAUACCCCGCUGUUCUGACGGUACCCAAAGAAUAAGCACCGGCUAACUUCGUG